UACGUAGGUGGCGAGCGUUGUCCGGAUUUACUGGGCGUAAAGAGCGCGCAGGCGGUCGUUCAAGUCGGAUGUGAAAGCCCCCGGCUCAACUGGGGAGGGUCAUUCGAUACUGAUCGACUCGAAGGCAGGAGAGGGAAGCGGAAUUCCCGGUGUAGUGGUGAAAUUCGUAGAUAUUGGGAAGAACACCGAUGGCGAAGGCAGCCAUCUGGACCGACACUGACGCUGAGGCGCGAAAGCGUGGGGAGCAAACAGG
RNAcentral lists this ribosomal RNA (253 nucleotides) under uncultured bacterium. RNAcentral's name for it is "partial 16S ribosomal RNA". It matches the Rfam family "Bacterial small subunit ribosomal RNA", at positions 524 to 776 of the family's 1533-position model. The record is from RNAcentral.